CGCAGCAUCAGCCUCAAGGAUCUCAUUAAUCACUAGUUAAAGGUAAUUUCAAUUUACUUUACUAUUUUUCCGUUAAACUUCAUAAAGUUAUAAACACGCAUAAAAUAGAAAUAAAAAGAUACAUAAUGAGAUCCUUGAGGCUGAUGCUGU
Non-coding RNA from Pelobates cultripes (western spadefoot toad), 150 nucleotides. NCBI's taxonomy places the organism in Eukaryota, Metazoa, Chordata, Amphibia, Anura, Pelobatidae. The record is from the annotation of a GenBank genome assembly.